GGGCCCGCACAAGCAGCGGAGCGUGUGGUUUAAUUCGAUGCCACACGAAGAACCUUACCAGGGUUUGACAUGCAAGUGGUAGGAAACCGAAAGGUGACCGACCUUCGGGGAGCUUGCACAGGUGCUGCAUGGCUGUCGUCAGCUCGUGUCGUGAGAUGUUCGGUUAAGUCCGCUAACGAGCGCAACCCUCGCUGUGUGUUAUAUGUGUCACACGGGACUGCCGGUCUUAAGCCGGAGGAAGGUGGGAUGAUGUCAAGUCAGCAUGGCCUUUAUAUCCUGGGCUACACACACGCUACAAUGGCCAGCACAGACGGACGCAAAGCCGCGAGGUGGAGCAAAUCCUAAAAAGCCGGUCUCAGUUCGGAUUGCAGGCUGCAAUUCGCCUGCAUGAAGUCGGAAUCGCUAGUAAUCGCAGGUCAGCAGACCGCGGUGAAUACGUUCCCGGGUUUU
Molecule: ribosomal RNA, 450 nt
Filed under: uncultured Leptolinea sp.
Lineage: Bacteria; Bacillati; Chloroflexota; Anaerolineae; Anaerolineales; Anaerolineaceae
Description: bacterial SSU rRNA
Rfam family: Bacterial small subunit ribosomal RNA
Source: RNAcentral